Molecule: ribosomal RNA, 429 nt
Filed under: Actinomycetes bacterium
Lineage: Bacteria; Bacillati; Actinomycetota; Actinomycetes
Description: Actinobacteria bacterium partial 16S ribosomal RNA
Rfam family: Bacterial small subunit ribosomal RNA
Source: RNAcentral
UAGGGAAUCUUCCGCAAUGGGCGAAAGCUUGACGGAGCAACGCCGCGUGAGUGAUGAAGGUCUUCGGAUCGUAAAACUCUGUUAUGAGGGAAGAACAAAUGUGUAAGUAACUAUGCACGUCUUGACGGUACCUAAUCAGAAAGCCACGGCUAACUACGUGCCAGCAGCCGCGGUAAUACGUAGGUGGCAAGCGUUAUCCGGAAUUAUUGGGCGUAAAGCGCGCGUAGGCGGUUUUUUAAGUCUGAUGUGAAAGCCCACGGCUCAACCGUGGAGGGUCAUUGGAAACUGGAAAACUUGAGUGCAGAAGAGGAAAGUGGAAUUCCAUGUGUAGCGGUGAAAUGCGAAGCGAUAUGGAGGAACACCAGUGGCGAAGGCGACUUUCUGGUCUGUAACUGACGCUGAUGUGCGAAAGCGUGGGGAUCAAACAGG